GGCCGCGGGAGCUGGAAGGCUGGCGGAAGCUGUGUCACAGCGCGCCCCUGCGCCCACCACCCAGACAAGAGAGAUCUAAGUCAGGCGUUGGGCAGGAGAUGGAGCUGAGGCCUACCCCAGGCCAGGCCUGGACGUGACAUGCCCACGUGGCGUUGAGGAAAAACCAGUGUUUCCCACCGACUGGAACACAAGGAGGCGAAGGCAGGAGAAUCCAGGCGACCCUGGGGCUUUUCUGCUGGGGCACUGUUCCCCCUGUGGCAGGGCCAUCCACAGAGGGGCUGGCGGAAGUGGGAGGACGAGUGCAUUCCACAGAGAUGGGAUUUGAACCUGGGCAUUCUGGCACGGGCCACGCUCUGGACCACUGGGCCCCAGAUCCACAGCUUCUCACCUGCAGCCGCUGAGGAUGUGGAGGCAGACCAGGCAGGCCCGUGGGAAGGACCACCAAAAAGCGA
Molecule: long non-coding RNA, 452 nt
Filed under: Homo sapiens (human)
Lineage: Eukaryota; Metazoa; Chordata; Mammalia; Primates; Hominidae
Description: HSALNT0409135
Source: RNAcentral